RNAcentral lists this ribosomal RNA (294 nucleotides) under Triticum aestivum (bread wheat). RNAcentral describes it as "partial small subunit ribosomal RNA". Lineage: Eukaryota; Viridiplantae; Streptophyta; Magnoliopsida; Poales; Poaceae. The record is from RNAcentral.
AUGCAGGGGGUGCUUUUCAAUGGGUUGAUCGCUGUGAAGAAGCUACUCAAUACGCAUAUCCAUGAGGACAAAUUCCAGGGAGAGGUCAAAUGCCUUAUGAAGGUCAAGCACAAAAAUGUCGUACGUUUUCUAGGAUAUUGUGCCGAUACGCAAGGGAGAAUGGUAGACUAUGAGGGAGACUUUGUUAUGGCAGAUGUACGGCAGCGGUUGCUCUGUUUUGAGUAUCUACACAAAGGGUCUCUUCAUGAUUAUAUCACCGGUAGGAACAUUUUGCACAUUACUUCUUUUUGGUAG